GACGAACGCUGGCGGCGUGCUUAACACAUGCAAGUCGAACGGAAAGGCCCUGCUUUUGUGGGGUGCUCGAGUGGCGAACGGGUGAGUAACACGCGAGUAAACUGCCCUUGUAUGUGGGAUAACUUCAGGAAACUGGGGAUAUUAUCGGAUAGGAGCUCCUGAUGCAUGGUGGUGGUUGGUAAGUUUCGGCGGUUGGGGAUGGACUCGAGGGUUAUGCGCCUGUUUGGGGGGUUGGGGCUUUCCAAGGCUUUGACGGGUAGCCGGCCUGAGAGGGUGAACGGCCUCAUGGGGACUGCGAUACGGCCCAGACGCCUACGGGAGGCAGCAGUGGGGAAUAUGGCACAAUGGGCGGAAGCCUGAUGCAGCAACGCCGCGUGCGUGAUAACGGCCUUCGGGUGGAAAACCGCUUUCGCCUUUGACGAAGCGGGAGUGACGGUAAUGGGUAAAGAAGCACCGGCUAACUACGUG
Molecule: ribosomal RNA, 468 nt
Filed under: uncultured bacterium
Lineage: Bacteria
Description: partial 16S ribosomal RNA
Rfam family: Bacterial small subunit ribosomal RNA
Source: RNAcentral